CGGAAUGUAGCGCAGCUUGGUAGCGCACUUGUCUGGGGGAUAAGUGGUCGCAGGUUCAAAUCCUGCCAUUCCGA
This 74-nucleotide transfer RNA is filed under the name Oleispira antarctica RB-8. It matches the Rfam family "tRNA". Rfam says of the family: Transfer RNA (tRNA) molecules are approximately 80 nucleotides in length. Their secondary structure includes four short double-helical elements and three loops (D, anti-codon, and T loops). The record is from Rfam by way of RNAcentral. Lineage: Bacteria; Pseudomonadati; Pseudomonadota; Gammaproteobacteria; Oceanospirillales; Oceanospirillaceae.